GGAGCAGCGGACGGGUGAGUAUUACAUGAGAACCUAUCCCAUAUCGGGUGACAACGUUUGGAAACGGACGCUAAUACCCCAUAGGCCGAGAGGUUAAAGCGGAGACGCGAUAUGGGAGGGGCUCGUGACCUAUCAGCUAGUUGGUGGGGUAAGGGCCUACCAAGGCGAAGACGGGUAGCCGGCCUGAGAGGGUGACCGGCCACACUGGAACUGAGAUACGGUCCAGACUCCUACGGGAGGCAGCAGUGGGGAAUAUUGGGCAAUGGGAGCAAUCCUGACCCAGCAACGCUGCGUGAACGAAGAAGGCCCUUGGGUCGUAAAGUUCUUUUAUACGGGAAGAAGUCAGUGACGGUACCGUAUGAAUAAGCCCCGGCUAACUACGUGCCAGCAGCCGCGGUAAUACGUAGGGGGCGAGCGUUGUCCGGAAUUACUGGGCGUAAAGGGCACGCAGGCUGCGCUACAAGUCAGCUGUAAAGGAUGCGGCUUAACCGUGUUAUGCAGUUGAACUGUAGUGCUGGAGUACCGAAGAGGCAAGUGGAAUUCCCAGUGUAGCGGUGAAAUGCGUAGAUUUGGGAAGAACACCGGUGGCGAAGGCGACUUGCUGUCGGUAACUGACGCUGAGUGCGAAGCCAGGGAGCAACGGAUUAGAUACCCGGUAGUCCUGGCCGUAACGAUGAUGCU
Molecule: ribosomal RNA, 681 nt
Filed under: uncultured bacterium
Lineage: Bacteria
Description: bacterial SSU rRNA
Rfam family: Bacterial small subunit ribosomal RNA
Source: RNAcentral